This is a long non-coding RNA of Hydractinia symbiolongicarpus, 5207 nucleotides long. RefSeq lists it as uncharacterized. The record is from RefSeq and is a predicted model, not a curated record. The transcript has 3 exons. NCBI's taxonomy places the organism in Eukaryota, Metazoa, Cnidaria, Hydrozoa, Anthoathecata, Hydractiniidae.
UUUUGCCGCCUAAUGAAGGCCUUACACCAAAAACACGUGGUUCGACGUGUCUGCGCAGGUUACCAUCGGUCUAUUCCUUCCACUCUCAAUUGACUACGAGGUCUCAAGUCGCUUUCCAACGCGCCAUGGUGUUACAACGCAGUGAAAUACGUGUAAAGGCUUAUAACGACUGUUAUAUGGCCUUUUACCACCUAAUAAAAGCCUUUCACGUAAAACAUGUGUUCCACGUGCCUACGCAGUUUACCAUCGGUCUAUUCGUUCCACUCUCAAUGGGCUACGACGUCUCAAGACGCUUUACAUCACGCCAUGGUCUUACAGCACAGUGAACUACGUGUAGAGGCCUCUAAGGGCUGUUAUAUGACCUUUACCACCUAAUGAAGGCUUUACCAGUAAAUCACGUGGUUCCACGUGCCUGCGCAGUUUAUCAUCGGUACAGUCCUUCCGCCAUAAAUGGCCUAAAACGUCUCAAGUUGUUUUCCAUUCCGCCAUUGUCUUACAACGCAGUGAACUACGUGUAAAGGCCUCUAAGCACUGUUGGCUCUUGCCGCAUAAUAAAAUCCUUACACCUAAAACUCGUGGUUCGACGCGUCUGUGCAGGUUACCAUCGGUCUAUUCCUUCCACUCUAAAUGACUUACGACGUUUCAAGACGUUUUCCAUCGCCCCAUGGUCUUACAACACAGUGAACUACGUGUAGAGGCCUCUAAGGGCUGUUAUAUGACCUUUUGCCCCUUAAUAAAAUCCUUACACGUAAAACAUGUGGUUCCACGUGCAUGCUCAAGUUACUAUCGGUCUAUUCCUGCCACACUCAACGGACUACGAUGUCUGAAGUCCUUUGCCAUCGUGCCAUGAUCUUCUAACGCAGUGAAGUACGUGUAAAUGCCUCUAACGACUGUUAUAUGGCCCUUUACCCCCUAACAAAGGCCUUGCACGUAAAUCACGUGGUUCCACCUACCUACUCAGUUUACCAUCGCUCUAUUCCUUCCACUCUCAAUGGACUACUACGUCUCAAGUUGUUUUCCAUCGCGCCAUGGUCUUACAACACAGUGAACUACGUGUAGAGGCCUCUAAAGAUUGUUAUAUGGCCUCUUGCCGCCUAAUAAAGGCCUUACUCCUAAAACACUUGAUUCGACGUGUCUUAGCAGGUUACCAUCGGUCUAUUCCUUCUACACUCAAUAGACUACGACGUUUCAAGACAUUUUCCAUCGCGCCAUGGCCUUACAACACUGUAAACUACGUGUAGAGCCCUCUAAAGACUGUUAGAUGGCCUUUUGCUGCCUAAUAAAGGCUUUACACGUAAUUUACGUGGUUCGGCGUGUCUACGCAGGUUACCAUUGGUCUAUUCCUUCCACUCUCAAUGAACUACGACGUCUCAAGACGCUUUCCAUCGCGCCAUGGUCUUACAGCACAGUGAACUACGUGUAGAGGCCUCUAAGGGCUGCUAUAUGACCUUUUACCACAUAAUAAAAGCCUUACACGUAAAUCAAGUGGUUCCACGUACUUCCGCAGUUUAACAUCGGUCUAUUCCUCCUACACUCACUGGACUACGACGUUUCAAGUCGUUUUCCAUCGCGCCAUGGUCUUACAACGCAGUGAAAUACUUGUAAAGGCCUCUAAGGACUGUUAUAUGGCUUUUUGCCGCCUAAUAAAGGCCUUACACCUAAAACACGUGGUUCCACGUGUCUGCGCAGGUUACCAUCGGUCUAUUUCAUCCACUCUCAAUGGACUACGACGUCUCAAGUCGAUUUCCAACGCGCCAUGGUCUUACAACAUAGUGAACUACGUGUAGAGGCCUCUAAAGACUGUUAUAUGGCCCUUUGCCACCUAACAAAGGUCCUACACGAAAAUCACGUGGUUUUACGAGCCUGCGCAGGUUACCAUCGGUCUAUUCCUUCCACUCUCAAUGGACUACGACGUUUCAAGUCGCUUUCCAUGGCGCCAUGGUUUUACAACACUGUGAACUACGUGUAAAGACUUCUAAAGACUGUUAUACGGCAUUUUGCCGCCUAAUAAAGGCCUCACACCUAAAACACGUGGUUCGACGUGUCUGCGCAGGUUACCAUCGGUCUAUUCCUUCCACUCUCAAUGGACUACGAGGUCUCAAGUCGCUUUCCAACGCGCGAUGGUCUUACAACAUAGUGAACUACGUGUAGAGGCCUCUAAAGACUGUUAUAUGGCCCUUUGCCAACUAACAAAGGCCCUACACAUAAAUCACGUGGUUCCACGUGCCUGCGCAGGUUAGCAUCGGUCUAUUCCUUCUACACUUACUGGACUACGUCGUUUCAAGUCGUUUUCCAUCGCGCCAUGGUCUUAUAACACUGUAAACUACGUGUAGAGGUCUCUAAAGACUGUUAGAUGGCCUUUUGACGUCUAGUAAAGGCUUUACACGUAAAUCACGUGGCUCCCCGUGCCUGCGCAGUUCAUCAUCAGUACAGUCCUUCCGCCAUAAAUGGACUAAAACGUCUCAAGUUGUUUUCCAUUCCGCCAUUGUUUACAACACAGUCAACUACGUGUACGGGCCUCUAAGAGCUGUUAUAUGGCCUUUUACCGCCUAUUAAAUUCUUUACAAGUAAAUCACCUACCUGCGCAGUUUACCAUCGGUGUAUUCCUUCCACUCUCAAUGGAGUAAGACGUCUCAAGACGCUUUCCAUCGCGCCAUGGUCUUACGGCACAGUGAACUACGUGUAGAGGCCUCUAAGGGCUGCCAUAUGACCUUUUACCACAUAAUAAAGGCUUUACACGUAAUUCACGUGGUUCCACGUGUCUACGCAGGUUACCAUCGGUCUAUUCCUUCCACUCUCAAUGGGCUACGACGUCUCAAGUUGUUUUCCAUCACGCCAUGGUCUCACAACACAGUGAACUACGUGUAGAGGCCUCUAAAGAUUGUUAUAUGGCCUGUUGCCGCCUAAUAAAGGCUUUACACGUAAUUCACGUGGUUCGACGUGUCUGCGCAGGUUACCAUCGGUCUAUUCCUUCCACUCUCAAUGGACUACGACGUCUGAAGUCGAUUUCCAACGCGCCAUGGUCUUACAACAUAGUGAACUACGUGUAGAGGCCUCUAAAGACUGUUAUAUGGCCCUUUCCCACCUAACAAAGGUCCUACACGUAAAUCACGUGGUUCCACGAGCCUGCGCAGGUUACCAUCGGUCUAUUCCUUCUACACUCACUGGACUACGACGUUUCAAGUCGUCUUCCAACGCAGAGAAAUACGUGUAAAGGCCUCUAAGGACUGUUAUAUGGCCUUUUGCCGCCUAAUAAAGGCCUCACACCUAAAACACGUGGUUCGACGUGUCUGCGCAGGUUACCAUCGGUCUAUUCCUUCCACUCUCAAUGGACUACGAGGUCUCAAGUCGCUUUCCAACGUGCGAUGUUCUCACAACAUAGUGAACUACGUGUAGAGGCCUCUAAAGACUGUUAUAUGGCCCUUUGCCAACUAACAAAGGUCCUACACGUAAAUCACGUGGUUCGACGUGUCUGCGCAGGUUACCAUCGGUCUAUUCCUUCCACUCUCAAUGGGCUACGACGUCUCAAGUUGUUUUCCAUCACGCCAUGGUCUCACAACACAGUGAACUACCUGUAGAGGCCUCUAAGGCCUGUUAUAUGACAUUUUACCACCUAAUAAAAGCCUUACACGUAAAACAUGUGGUUCCAUGUGUUAGCCCAGGUAAACAUCGGUCUAUUCCUUCUACACUCACUGGACUACGACAUUUCAAGUCAUCUUCCAACGCAGUGAAAUACGUGUAAAGGCCUCUAAGGACUGUUAUAUGGCCUUUUGCCGCCUAAUAAAGGCCUCACACCUAAAACACGUGGUUCCACGUGCCUGCGCAGUUUAUCAUCGGUACAGUCCUUCCGCCAUAAAUGGCCUAAAACGUCUCAAGUUGUUUUCCAUUCCGCCAUUGUCUUACAACGCAGUGAACUACGUGUAAAGGCCUCUAAGCACUGUUGGCUCUUGCCGCAUAAUAAAAUCCUUACACCUAAAACUCGUGGUUCGACGCGUCUGUGCAGGUUACCAUCGGUCUAUUCCUUCCACUCUAAAUGACUUACGACGUUUCAAGACGUUUUCCAUCGCGCCAUGGUCUUACAACACAGUGAACUACGUGUAGAGGCCUCUAAGGGCUGUUAUAUGACCUUUUGCCCCUUAAUAAAAUCCUUACACGUAAAACAUGUGGUUCCACGUGCAUGCUCAAGUUACUAUCGGUCUAUUCCUGCCACACUCAACGGACUACGAUGUCUGAAGUCCUUUGCCAUCGUGCCAUGAUCUUCUAACGCAGUGAAGUACGUGUAAAUGCCUCUAACGACUGUUAUAUGGCCCUUUACCCCCUAACAAAGGCCUUGCACGUAAAUCACGUGGUUCCACCUAUCUAGUCAGUUUACCAUCGCUCUAUUCCUUCCACUCUCAAUGGACUACUACGUCUCAAGUUGUUUUCCAUCGCGCCAUGGUCUUACAACACAGUGAACUACGUGUAGAGGCCUCUAAAGAUUGUUAUAUGGCCUCUUGCCGCCUAAUAAAGGCCUUACUCCUAAAACACUUGAUUCGACGUGUCUUAGCAGGUUACCAUCGGUCUAUUCCUUCUACACUCAAUAGACUACGACGUUUCAAGACAUUUUCCAUCGCGCCAUGGCCUUACAACACUGUAAACUACGUGUAGAGCCCUCUAAAGACUGUUAGAUGGCCUUUUGCUGCCUAAUAAAGGCUUUACACGUAAUUCACGUGGUUCGACGUGUCUACGCAGGUUACCAUUGGUCUAUUCCUUCCACUCUCAAUGAACUACGACGUCUCAAGACGCUUUCCAUCGCGCCAUGGUCUUACAGCACAGUGAACUACGUGUAGAGGCCUCUAAGGGCUGCUAUAUGACCUUUUACCACAUAAUAAAAGCCUUACACGUAAAUCACGUGGUUCCACGUACUUCCGCAGUUUAACAUCGGUCUAUUCCUCCUACACUCACUGGACUACGACGUUUCAAGUCGUUUUCCAUCGCGCCAUGGUCUUACAACGCAGUGAAAUACGUGUAAAGGCCUCUAAAGAUUGUUAUAUGGCCCUUUGCCACUAAAUAAAAGCCUUACACAUAAAUCACGUGGUUCCACGUACUUCCGCAGGUCAACAUCGGUGUAUUCCUUCUACACUCAAUGGACUACGACGUCUGAACUUAUUUUCCAUAGCGCCAUGGUCUUACAAAACAGUAAAAUACCCGUAGAGGCCUCUAAAGAU